RNAcentral lists this ribosomal RNA (120 nucleotides) under Scophthalmus maximus (turbot). The record is from RNAcentral. Lineage: Eukaryota; Metazoa; Chordata; Actinopteri; Pleuronectiformes; Scophthalmidae.
GCUUACGGCCACACCGCCUGGUUCACGCCCGAUCUCGUUUGAUCUCGGAAGAUAAGAUAGGUUGGGCCUGGUUAGUACUUGGAUGGGGAGACCGCCUGGGAAUACCAGGUGCUGUAAGGC